AGAGUUUGAUCCUGGCUCAGAACGAACGCUGGCGGCGUGCUUAACACAUGCAAGUCGAACGUGAUUCAGAGCUUGCUCUGAUGAAAGUGGCGCACGGGUGAGUAACGCGUGGAUAACCUGCCCUGGUAUCUGGGAUAACAUCUCGAAAGGGGUGCUAAUACCGGAUAAGCCCACGGGUUCUUCGGAGUCUGCAGGAAAAGGAGGCCUCUAUUUAUAAGCUUCCGUAUCAUGAUGGGUCCGCGUACCAUUAGCUAGUUGGUGGGGUAAUGGCCUACCAAGGCGACGAUGGUUAGCUGGUCUGAGAGGAUGAUCAGCCACACUGGAACUGAGACACGGUCCAGACUCCUACGGGGGGCAGCAGUGGGGAAUUUUGCGCAAUGGGGGAAACCCUGACGCAGCAACGCCGCGUGAGUGAUGAAGGCUUUCGGGUCGUAAAGCUCUGUCAGAGGGGAAGAAAUGAAACGUGCUAAUAUCACGUUUUCUUGACGGUACCCUCAAAGGAAGCACCGGCUAACUCCGUGCCAGCAGCCGCGGUAAUAC
RNAcentral lists this ribosomal RNA (540 nucleotides) under uncultured Geobacter sp. RNAcentral describes it as "bacterial SSU rRNA". It matches the Rfam family "Bacterial small subunit ribosomal RNA", at positions 8 to 526 of the family's 1533-position model. Lineage: Bacteria; Pseudomonadati; Thermodesulfobacteriota; Desulfuromonadia; Geobacterales; Geobacteraceae. RNAcentral also lists the same sequence under 1 other name. The record is from RNAcentral.